GUGGAUAAACUCGGGGGACUGCUGACUAUAACCAUUUCUCAAAACAGAGGAAGGUUGCGGCAAUAACAGGUCUGUGAUGCCCUCAGAUGUCCCGGGCUGCACACGUGCUACAAUGAGUGGCGCAAUGUGCUAAUGUUUUAAGGGAUAAGCGUGCGGCCAGUAGAACGUCGGCAAUUGCCCUGGCGUCUUCUACCGCACGAUUAUCAGCCUUCCCUUAACAGGGCGGGCAACCUUUUCAAAAUACCGGUUUGAUGUUAAAGUAUAGAGUCGUUUUUUUUGGAUGGUGGUUUACGAACCAAUACCAUCCGCAACUGCUCGCGAGUUUGUGGUUCUGGUGACUCAUGGUGGGGACCGAUGUUUGUAAUUGUUUGUCGCGUGUCAACUAGGAAUGCCUUGUACUGUCGAUUCACUAAGUUAUUGG
RNAcentral lists this ribosomal RNA (421 nucleotides) under Globigerinoides ruber albus. RNAcentral's name for it is "partial small subunit ribosomal RNA". It matches the Rfam family "Eukaryotic small subunit ribosomal RNA", at positions 1402 to 1642 of the family's 1831-position model. Lineage: Eukaryota; Foraminifera; Rotaliida; Globigerinidae. The record is from RNAcentral.